This 253-nucleotide ribosomal RNA is filed under the name uncultured bacterium. Its description in RNAcentral is "partial 16S ribosomal RNA". It matches the Rfam family "Bacterial small subunit ribosomal RNA", at positions 524 to 776 of the family's 1533-position model. The record is from RNAcentral.
UACGAAGGGAGCUAGCGUUGUUCGGAAUCACUGGGCGUAAAGCGCACGUAGGCGGAUUUGUCAGUCAGGGGUGAAAUCCCGGGGCUCAACCUCGGAACUGCCUUUGAUACAGCAAGUCUUGAGUUCGAGAGAGGUGGGUGGAAUUCCUAGUGUAGAGGUGAAAUUCGUAGAUAUUCGCAAGAACACCAGUGGCGAAGGCGGCUCACUGGCUCGAUACUGACGCUGAGGUGCGAAAGCGUGGGGAGCAAACAGG